Molecule: long non-coding RNA, 1501 nt
Organism: Phoenix dactylifera (date palm)
Lineage: Eukaryota; Viridiplantae; Streptophyta; Magnoliopsida; Arecales; Arecaceae
Source: RefSeq, a predicted model, not a curated record
UGCAAGCGGUGCCCUUCCCCUUGUCCAAUUAAAAAAAAAAAAAACAGGGGAGGCACCGGCCGCGACCCAACUCCCCUGGCCACCGUCUCUCUCUCUCUCUCCCGCGCUCUUUCCCCCCUCGCGCGCCUUCAUCCCACCGCCUCUCCUCUCUCCGACCACCCAACACCGGCGCCUCCCAUCCCCUCUUUUUCUCUCUUUUCUCAUUUUCCGCCUCCUCCUUCCGCUGUCCCCCUCUUCUCCUCCUCUCAACGGAGCGUCGUCAGUCGCCGCUGGGGGGUGCCUUGGAGAAGAAGAAGAGGGGGAAAAAGCUAAGUUGUUGAAGCCAUCAUCAAGGUUGAUUUUGAAGUGUUUGCGAAUUUCCAAGAUGUUUGGUUAGCACGAGAAAGAGAGUAUGGUAAUGAUAGCCAAAAUCUUGCUCCCUCAAGUUUUUGGAAGAAUACCAAUUCAAGAAUUCAGAGGCCUUCUUGCUGAAAGGUCAACAAUGAACUUUUACAUGAAAAGUACAGAAAGAUUUCAUUUUUAUUCUAUUGGAAGGAGUUAUAAAGAAGCAACAUGACCCGAGAGGCUAUGUCACAUCUCCAGCAGCAUUGGUUCCUGAGUCUGCUGAAUUAGAUUUUUUUAAUUUAUGCUCUUCAGGCACCAGCAUGGCCAGCGCUAGUCAUCAAGGAUCUUAUUGCACGGUUAAAGACAGAGCUAGAGAGAUGUUUUUGAUAUCAGUUCCUUUUAUUCAAAUACAACUUCUUUAAGGCAUUGUUUACCAGCCUCUUAUUCCACUGAGGAUUCAAAAGGCUAAUGCAAGUAACACAAAGGUAUUGAGAGCUUGGCAGAGCAUCUCGGCAAAUGAUGACAUCUAUCAGCUACACAACUGAAAUUGAUCAGCUGUGAAUAGUUUAUUCCUGAAGGAAUGCCACUGAGCAUCUCUACAGCAUUGUUUCUUACAUGUCCACAUUUUCGGAAUCCAUGACUGCUCAUAUUUUGUUAAGUCAUCUGUUAGUUUUUCUCUGAAUUAGGAAACUGAAGUGGAUAAGUUUUAUUUGAACGACUGAGGACUUUUGAUAAGUGUACUCCAACAGCUAUACUAACAGGUCUAGCAGUAUUCCACAGUUAUCAUGAAGGAUUUACCACCCUGAUCUCCUUGUUUCAAGCUUAUAAAGAAAAGGACCUACUCUGAAUGAAAUCCAAAACAGUACACCUAGUGGGAGAUACUUUCUAUGCCUGCGGGAUGAAAAGGCAAAAGAUAUUUAAAGUGAUGACUGAAGAAUCAGGAGCUGAAGAGCAUAAAGUGAACCCUUAUUAUUGUCAGUACUAUGGAAGAUUGUUUUCUUUGUAUGCUACAGGAAUAUGAACAUGCUGCUUAAUUGUGAUAAUCUUGGUUUAUAUUUGUCAAAGUUUAUGGACAGAGUGAUACCUGAUGCCUAAGGAAUUUGAAUAAAUAAAUGCAGCUGUACGUCUCCUUGUCAUGAUUACAAUUAAUAAAUCUUCCUUCCAUUAUCCAUUGAAA